RNAcentral lists this unclassified non-coding RNA (273 nucleotides) under uncultured fungus. RNAcentral describes it as "partial contains small subunit ribosomal RNA, internal transcribed spacer 1, and 5.8S ribosomal RNA". The stretch from base 1 to 73 matches the Rfam family "Eukaryotic small subunit ribosomal RNA", at positions 1759 to 1831 of the family's 1831-position model. Lineage: Eukaryota; Fungi. The record is from RNAcentral.
ACAAACUUGGUCAUUUAGAGGAAGUAAAAGUCGUAACAAGGUUUCCGUAGGUGAACCUGCGGAAGGAUCAUUAGCGUAGCUCAUGCGGCUCCGGCUGCACUUCGCACACCCUUGAUGUUUGUAUACCUCUGUUCUCCCUCCGGCUGGGUGGUUCCAGCCGGUGGGGACACCCCCAAACCCCUUGUAGUGGAGUGUUCUGUCAGUGAAUCUUUGAAUUUAAUUACAACUUUCAACAAUGGAUCUCUUGGCUCUGGCAUCGAUGAAGAACGCAGC